AACCUGGUUGGGUGGUCUGCCUUCACGGUACGUACUGCUUGGCCGGGUUCUACCUCUUGGUGAGCCGGCAUGCCCUUCACUGGGUGUGUCGGGGAACCAGGACUUUUACCUUGAGAAAAUUAGAGUGCUCAAAGCAGGCAUUUUGCUUGAAUAUAUUAGCAUGGAAUAAUGGAAUAGGAC
RNAcentral lists this ribosomal RNA (180 nucleotides) under uncultured Glomeromycotina. RNAcentral's name for it is "partial small subunit ribosomal RNA". The stretch from base 92 to 180 matches the Rfam family "Eukaryotic small subunit ribosomal RNA", at positions 738 to 828 of the family's 1831-position model. Lineage: Eukaryota; Fungi; Glomeromycota. The record is from RNAcentral.